UUGAAAGGGAAACGAUUGAAGUCAGUCGUACCUGUGGGUAAUCAGCCUUUUGGGUGUGAUUAUGUGGAGUGUGAAGAGUUAAACGCCUUUAUGCCUGCAUAUUCGUGCACUUUGGGUGUAUUUACCCGUGUGGUAAGUUAACAUCAAUUUUGGUCGUCAUAGAAUGGCUGGAGGAAUGUAGCUUCGAUCUCGUAUUGAAGUGUUAUAGCCUUCGGUAGAUGUGGUGAUCGGGAUUGAGGAUUGCAACGAUACCCUUCGGGGCUAACCCGUUAGAUCAAAUUGAUGGUCGAUGGGUCACAUUCGUUAAGGAUGUUGACGUA
This 320-nucleotide ribosomal RNA is filed under the name uncultured Glomeromycotina. RNAcentral describes it as "LSU rRNA". The record is from RNAcentral. Lineage: Eukaryota; Fungi; Glomeromycota.